UACGUAGGGGGCGAGCGUUGUCCGGAAUCAUUGGGCGUAAAGCGCGUGUAGGCGGCCCGGUAAGUCCGCUGUGAAAGUCCAGGGCUCAACCCUGGGAUGCCGGUGGAUACUGUCGGGCUAGAGUCCGGAAGAGGAGUGUGGAAUUCCUGGUGUAGCGGUGAAAUGCGCAGAUAUCAGGAAGAACACCAAUGGCGAAGGCAGCUCGCUGGGACGGUACUGACGCUGAGGCGCGAAAGCGUGGGGAGCAAACAGG
RNAcentral lists this ribosomal RNA (253 nucleotides) under uncultured bacterium. Its description in RNAcentral is "partial 16S ribosomal RNA". It matches the Rfam family "Bacterial small subunit ribosomal RNA", at positions 524 to 776 of the family's 1533-position model. The record is from RNAcentral.